AGCGAACGCUGGCGGCAGGCCUAACACAUGCAAGUCGAACGGCUCUUCGGAGCAGUGGCGGACGGGUGAGUAACACGUGGGAACGUGCCCUUUGGUACGGAACAACUGAGGGAAACUUCAGCUAAUACCGUAUGUGCCCUUCGGGGGAAAGAUUCAUCGCCAUUGGAGCGGCCCGCGUUGGAUUAGGUAGUUGGUGGGGUAAUGGCCCACCAAGCCUACGAUCCAUAGCUGGUCUGAGAGGAUGAUCAGCCACACUGGGACUGAGAAACGGCCCAGACUCCGACGGGAGGCAGCAGUGGGGAAUCUUGGGCAAUGGGCGAAAGCCUGACGCAGCGAUGCCGCGUGUAUGAUGAAGGUCUUAGGAUUGUAAAAUACUUUCACCGGGGAAGAUAAUGACGGUACCCGGAGAAGAAGCCCCGGCUAACUUCGUGCCAGCCGCCGCCGUAA
This 447-nucleotide ribosomal RNA is filed under the name uncultured bacterium. RNAcentral's name for it is "partial 16S ribosomal RNA". It matches the Rfam family "Bacterial small subunit ribosomal RNA", at positions 29 to 523 of the family's 1533-position model. The record is from RNAcentral.